AUUGAACGCUGGCGGCAGGCCUAACACAUGCAAGUCGAGCGGAUGAAGGGAGCUUGCUCCUGGAUUCAGCGGCGGACGGGUGAGUAAUGCCUAGGAAUCUGCCUGGUAGUGGGGGAUAACGUCCGGAAACGGGCGCUAAUACCGCAUACGUCCUGAGGGAGAAAGUGGGGGAUCUUCGGACCUCACGCUAUCAGAUGAGCCUAGGUCGGAUUAGCUAGUUGGUGGGGUAAAGGCCUACCAAGGCGACGAUCCGUAACUGGUCUGAGAGGAUGAUCAGUCACACUGGAAGUGAGACACGGUCCAGACUCCUACGGGAGGCAGCAGUGGGGAAUAUUGGACAAUGGGCGAAAGCCUGAUCCAGCCAUGCCGCGUGUGUGAAGAAGGUCUUCGGAUUGUAAAGCACUUUAAGUCGGGAGGAAGGGCAGUAAGUUAAUACCUUGCUGUUUUGACGUUACCAACAGAAUAAGCACCGGCUAACUUCGUG
RNAcentral lists this ribosomal RNA (484 nucleotides) under uncultured bacterium. RNAcentral's name for it is "partial 16S ribosomal RNA". It matches the Rfam family "Bacterial small subunit ribosomal RNA", at positions 30 to 507 of the family's 1533-position model. The record is from RNAcentral.